RNAcentral lists this unclassified non-coding RNA (220 nucleotides) under uncultured Solirubrobacteraceae bacterium. RNAcentral's name for it is "contains 16S-23S intergenic spacer region". It matches the Rfam family "Bacterial small subunit ribosomal RNA", at positions 976 to 1200 of the family's 1533-position model. The record is from RNAcentral. Lineage: Bacteria; Bacillati; Actinomycetota; Thermoleophilia; Solirubrobacterales; Solirubrobacteraceae.
UGGGCUUGACAUGUAGGUCGCACCCGUGGAAACACGGGGUCGGUUCGGCCGGACCUUCACAGGUGGUGCAUGGCUGUCGUCAGCUCGUGUCGUGAGAUGUUGGGUUAAGUCCCGCAACGAGCGCAACCCCCGUCGCAUGUUGCCAGCAUUUAGUUGGGGACUCAUGCGAGACUGCCGGUGACAAACCGGAGGAAGGUGGGGAUGACGUCAGUGCUUGCCU